AUACGGCGUGGUUUUGAGGAGGAUUUUUCUUCGUGUGAAUAAUUUGAGAGUAGAAAUGGUGGCGAAUAGGAUGAAGAUAUUGGCCAAAGAGACUUCCACUCGUCCAAGAAUUCCAUUGCCGGCAGAGUUCCGGCAGGUGAACGGCGGGAGAAUAAGCUUUUGGUUUCAGGGAGAGCAAGGAAGCAAAGAACGGAGUAUUGUAAAAUAAAAAAAUCCAUAUUCUGAUGUUUGUAGAAAUCUUGGUAGAGAAUACUCAGGAAUUGGAGGAGGAAGCCGAGUUGAUAACAAUGGCAACCGGAGGAGUAGUCUUGAAAAUCAAAGGUCCAAUUGGACUAUCAAUAUGUCGUCGUUUUGAGGAGGACUUUUCUUCGUGUGAAUAAUUUGAUAGUUGAAGUGGUGGCGAAUAGGAUGAAGAUAUUGGCCAUAGAGACUUCCACUCGUCCGAGAAUUCCAUUGCCAGCAGAGUUGCAGCAGGUGAACGGCGGGAGAAUAAGCUUUUGGUUUCAGGGAGAGCAAGGAAGCAAAGAAUGAAUAGAUGAAAAUUUCAUGUUUGGUCCGAAAAUAUUGUAAACGACUACUCGAUCGAUCGAAGAUAUAUUUUGGAAUUUGGAAAAUUACGUGUGGGACCUAUUUUGAAGGCACCGAUUGGGUUGAAGGUGGAGAGCGGAGAAAACUAGUUAUUUUAAGUAUAGCAGAGGGUCUGGAGCAUUUUUUAUAGUAAAGUUGUCAAAUGUAUCCGUCUAUUUUUCAUCCCCUUUUUUAGUAGAUUUCUAUUGCAUUGUCC
Molecule: long non-coding RNA, 784 nt
Filed under: Nicotiana benthamiana
Lineage: Eukaryota; Viridiplantae; Streptophyta; Magnoliopsida; Solanales; Solanaceae
Description: long non-coding RNA (NBEN_LNC009161)
Source: RNAcentral